RNAcentral lists this ribosomal RNA (465 nucleotides) under uncultured bacterium. RNAcentral's name for it is "partial 16S ribosomal RNA". It matches the Rfam family "Bacterial small subunit ribosomal RNA", at positions 28 to 507 of the family's 1533-position model. The record is from RNAcentral.
GACGAACGCUGGCGGCGUGCUUAACACAUGCGAGUCGAACGGAAAGGCCCUGCUUGCAGGGUACUCGAGUGGCGAACGGGUGAGUAACACGUGGGUGAUCUGCCCUGCACUUCGGGAUAAGCCUGGGAAACUGGGUCUAAUACCGGAUAGGAGCCAUUUUUAGUGUGAUGGUUGGAAAGUUUUUUCGGUGUAGGAUGAGCUCGCGGCCUAUCAGCUUGUUGGUGGGGUAAUGGCCUACCAAGGCGGCGACGGGUAGCCGGCCUGAGAGGGUGGACGGCCACAUUGGGACUGAGAUACGGCCCAGACUCCUACGGGAGGCGGCAGUGGGGAAUAUUGCACAAUGGGCGCAAGCCUGAUGCAGCGACGCCGCGUGGGGGAUGACGGCCUUCGGGUUGUAAACUCCUUUCGCUAGGGACGAAGCUUUUUGUGACGGUACCUAGAUAAGAAGCACCGGCUAACUACGUG